This 59-nucleotide transfer RNA is filed under the name Odontoschisma pseudogrosseverrucosum. RNAcentral describes it as "partial tRNA-Leu". It matches the Rfam family "tRNA", at positions 25 to 71 of the family's 71-position model. From Rfam's summary of the family: Transfer RNA (tRNA) molecules are approximately 80 nucleotides in length. Their secondary structure includes four short double-helical elements and three loops (D, anti-codon, and T loops). Lineage: Eukaryota; Viridiplantae; Streptophyta; Jungermanniopsida; Jungermanniales; Cephaloziaceae. The record is from RNAcentral.
UACGGACUUAAAAUCCGUUGGCUUUUUAGACCGUGAGGGUUCAAGUCCCUCUACCCCUA